UGAAUCCCGUCCGGGUAAGUGCUAGCCACACGCCCGGUAUCGAGUGUUGCAGCCAACGUAUAAGGCGUGUUGCCGAAGUCGUUGGUUGAAGCGUACACAGAAUGGUAGUGAGGGUGAAUGGAUCGCAGGUGGCCCUGCGGUCGUGAACG
RNAcentral lists this non-coding RNA (149 nucleotides) under Allorhodopirellula heiligendammensis. The record is from RNAcentral. Lineage: Bacteria; Pseudomonadati; Planctomycetota; Planctomycetia; Pirellulales; Pirellulaceae.